UGGGGAAUAUUGCACAAUGGGCGAAAGCCUGAUGCAGCGACGCCGCGUGAGGGAUGACGGCCUUCGGGUUGUAAACCUCUUUCAGCAGGGAAGAAGCGAAAGUGACGGUACCUGCAGAAGAAGCGCCGGCUAACUACGUGCCAGCAGCCGCGGUAAUACGUAGGGCGCAAGCGUUGUCCGGAAUUAUUGGGCGUAAAGAGCUCGUAGGCGGUUAGUCGCGUCUGCUGUGAAAACUCGAGGCUCAACCUCAGGCUUGCAGUGGGUACGGGCUGACUAGAGUGCGGUAGGGGUGACUGGAAUUCCUGGUGUAGCGGUGGAAUGCGCAGAUAUCAGGAGGAACACCGAUGGCGAAGGCAGGUCACUGGGCCGCAACUGACGCUGAGGAGCGAAAGCAUGGGGAGCGAACAGGAUUAGAUACCCUGGUAGUCCAUGCCGUAAACGUUGGGCACUAGGUGUGGGGUCCAUUCCACGGAUUCCGUGCCGCAGCAAACGCAUUAAGUGCCCCGCCUGGGGAGUACGGCCGCAAGCUAAAACUCAAAUGAAUUG
Molecule: ribosomal RNA, 546 nt
Filed under: uncultured bacterium
Lineage: Bacteria
Description: partial 16S ribosomal RNA
Rfam family: Bacterial small subunit ribosomal RNA
Source: RNAcentral